ACAACAGUCACGAGAUCAAAGCGGACGCGCGCACAGGGAAGGUGGGCGUCACGCAAAAAUGCGAGCCAGGGACUGAGGUUACGACCUGCCGUUUGCGCCUAGGGCCGGUUCAGAGCCACCCGUGGUGCGAUAACAUCCUACCGAUGCCAUCUGGAAGAAUUCAGAAGGAUGGAGGACUCGCUAACUGAACUUCAUCUAUCUCUGGACAACUUGAUGUAAAAAUAGCCGCGACUGAAAUCGUCUGAGACGCUGAAAGAUCGCAUGUGCCGUGGGACAUAUUUAACCAAACCUGAGCCACGGCCUCCGACUUGAGGAAGCGGAACACCCCUGCCGCCCGGUCCUCCCACUUUAUCAGACCCGGGUUCCUGUCGGGGUGCAGCAGGAUGUCCCGGAUGAACUCCCACAGAUCACACCCCUGUCCCUCCUUCUUUCUCCUGCUCAGAUCACACCCCUGUCCCUCCUUCUGUCUCUGUCAGCAGAUCCCUGGGUCACAGGGCUUGUCCAAGGGGUCCCUCUGCAUGCUGGUGAGGUCACCAACUCCCAAACAAAGCGUCAGGACAGGGGCCGCUUGCUGGAGUCCGGGACCCUGAGAGAGUAGGAAGUGAAGUGUGUGUGCAGGCCCCAAUUUGGCAGUCGCAAGGGUGCAGUCAAACAGCUUGGGUGGUCGGUCACUAGCUGUGCCUCAGGCUUCAUCCUGGUCCAUUGGGGCCUGUAGGCCUCCCUGCUGGGGCCCUGCUGGGGGCCUACCGGGGGCCCUGAGAUGGGUCUUGGCCUGCGUGACCGUAUAUUCUGCUCUUUUCAUAAUGAAAUGAAAUGAAAUGGAAACUAGUCGCGGUGCUCGGGCAGUUCUGACACACUGCAUGCUAAUGACAUGUGAAUUCCGUGUUUGAGCGUGUGUAUGAGGCCUGCUUGCUGUGUUGUGUGUAUGAGGCCUGUGUGUAUGAGGCCUGCUUGCUGUGUUGUGUGUAUGAGGCCU
Anguilla rostrata (American eel) is the source of this 976-nucleotide long non-coding RNA. RefSeq lists it as uncharacterized. The record is from RefSeq and is a predicted model, not a curated record. The transcript is spliced from 3 exons. Lineage: Eukaryota; Metazoa; Chordata; Actinopteri; Anguilliformes; Anguillidae.